Molecule: non-coding RNA, 3410 nt
Organism: Phalacrocorax carbo (great cormorant)
Lineage: Eukaryota; Metazoa; Chordata; Aves; Suliformes; Phalacrocoracidae
Source: RefSeq, a predicted model, not a curated record
ACAGCGGCGCGGUUUGCGGCGGCGGCCGGGGUAGAUGGUCGCCCGUUACUUUGAGGCGACCCGGGGCGCUCCUCGCACGGCGCCGCUGCCUGCGGCCAGCACGGGCACGUGUGUGUGAAGGCGUGCGUGGGGGUGUGUGUUAAGGGGGGUUUAGAGUGGGGGAGGUCACGCCGCAGGGUAGGAAGCGGCCCCGGGGUGCGGCCCCGGCCAGGCCAUGGAGCUCAGCGGCCUUGUGCGAGCCCUGGGGUCGGAGGGGCCGCGGGACGGGUCGCAGCCGCCCCACGCUGUCCCGCCGGCCGAGCAAGUCCUGCUCCAGGUCGGGCUGCUGCUCUCCGAGGGGGCCGGCGGCGCCGCCAAGGCCGGUGUGGUCAGAGACCUGGGAGCGCUGGUCCAGGCUGCGGACUGCCGGUGGCUGUUCGGAGGCCUGAGCCCCGCCACGCUGGGUGAGGUGGUGGCUGCGCUGAACGGCUACGCAGCACCCCCAAAGCAGGAGCAAGAUGCCGCGGAUCUCCCCGGUAAGGACAGCGCGUACGCUGCCACGGCCGAGAGAGCGGCGGAGGUUGGCGCCGUGUUUCUACACCUGCUUGCGAAGCUGGAAGCUGCCAAGACCCAGGAGUCUCUGGGCGUCCCCGUGAUGGGUCCAAUCCUGUGCCGUGUGAUGGGGCCCAUCUACAUCUUUGCCGCAACGCAUAUUACGGAGCAGCCCUGGACAAACGUGAGGUCUCAGUCGGUGGCGCAGGAGCUGCUGGUGCUGCUGCCUCAGGCCGCAGGCUGCGGGUCAGUGGCUGAAUUCCUUCGGGGAAAGAAUGAAAAUGAGGAAGGAAGAUUUGCAGCAGUGAUGGGGCUCCUGAAAGAGGAGUUAACCAAAGACACUUGGAAGCGUAACCCUGCCACAAAGUUUGUGUUCUCCUGGACGCUGCCGCAUGUCACCCGGCCCUGGCUUAGCCAUCACCUGGAGCGUGUCCUCCCUCCGUCGCUGCUCAUCUCGGAUGACUACCGGGAGGAGAAUAAAAUCCUGGGUGUGCGCUGCCUACACCACAUCAUUCUCAACGUGCCAGCUGCUGAUCUGUGCCAGUUCAACAGGGCUCAGGUCGUGUACCAUGCCCUUUACAACCAUCUCUAUUCGCGAGAGGCCCCUCUCAUUCAGGCAGUACUGCUGUGCCUGCUAGACUUGCUGCCCAUCCUGGAGAGGGCCCAGCGGCAGCAGAAGCAGGCCAGACCAACCGCGCCCUGCGAUGAGGUGCUGCAGCUGGUUCUGACCCACAUGGAGGCAGAGCAUCGCCUUGCGCUGCGGCGGGUGUACGCCAGGACCCUGCCUGCCUUUGUGCAGAGGCUUGGCAUCCUGAUAGCGCGGCACCUGAAAAGGCUGGAGCGAGUUAUCCUGGGGUACCUGGAAGUCUGUGAUGGCCCCGAGGAAGAAGCUCGACUGGGAAUACUGGAGACACUGCAACGCACCAUAGAGCACGCUUGGCCCAGAAUGCCGUGCAGACUCCCUGUGCUCCUCAAAGCCCUGCUGAAGAUGAUCUGGGAUGUACACACUGACCAAGGCUCAACGCCAGAGCCGGUAAAAGCCACCUUGCUCCAGAGCGCCACGGAGUGCCUCAUCCUGCUGGAUCGGUGCUCUGAAGGGCAAGUGAAGGUCCUGCUGGCAGGCGUGUACAGCAGCUGUGAGGAGAACCGCGUACGGGAAUGCAUCAGGAAAGUGCAGGAGAACACGUGAGGCGUGGCUGAUCCCACCCCGCUUUUUGCGCAUCUGCAUUGUGCUGCUUGGGCUCCGGAGCAGUGAAUCAUCUGUCCUUUCUGGCAAGUGAAAUGGCUGCGCGUUACACAACGGCUCAUUCAAGACAGAGAUGAGUUUAUAUAAACUGCCAACAGUGGAACCAGAGAAGCUCGUGAUGAGAGUGGGCAAACCGAAGCAUAGAGAUAAAGAAGUGCCUUGAGGUCAUGAGAGCUUGUGAGAUGGGUGGCGUGCAGUUGAACUGUUGUCUAAAUCCAGACUGCUCUCAAAUCUCAGGCAGCUGGUAAUUAGCACGUACCAUCCUGUCCUGCCUGGGACUCUCUAAAUGGCCUUGUUUUACUCAGAGCUGCCUCUGCAAAACCCAUCUGGCUGCCACGGUUUCAGCCCAGCACGAUACCAUUAUCUGCCCUGCAGAAGACGGGAUUUGACAGGCUUCCCGUGCACGAAAUAGCCUUUCUUCCACCGUUAUUGCUCUUGUGGGGAGUCUGAUUCCAUACAAUUUUUUCAAUAAUGGAGAAAAGCACAUUGUAUAGCUACCACUAAGGACAUUUUCAGCUGAAAUUGGAGCAACACGCAGCCUGGGAUCACUCACCCUGUGCGGGUGAGGCUGUAUGUUUUCUUCUUUUUUAGAAUGAUAUAAGAGAUUAUUCAAUCCAUCCCGCAGCGCCAAAGCGGGACCGGUUCUAGCUGAACUAUAUCAAGCAGCUGUUCAGGAGUGAGGGCUGCAAAGCACGGCACCUACCUAGCUGCCAUUUCGGGGAGCACAUGGUUUGCAUCAUCCAGAUGGGCAAGGUGGGCUCGAGCAUGGCCACCCCCAUGUUGGAGAAGCAGAGGGCACCUGACGGGGUCAAAAGGGAGAAAUGCUCUAUUUUAGCCACCUUCUGCUGCUGUUUCAAGCAUGCACGAGUGAAUCUCUUUAAUCAUGAGACGCAGGCCCACAAAGAGGAGCGCGGCACGCACCGACAUCCGCCUUUACCUGCAGCGAUCAGGAUGUAGGGGUCUCGCAGCAGGGUGGACACCGGCGUGCCUUUGGUGCUCUGCGGGGUGGCAAAGGGGGGGGUUACGUUGGCUGAGGGCCGCGCGUGCGUUCGUGCCUGGUCGGGGAUGGGUGCCGGCACAGCCCUCCUCCCCGCGGAGCACCCGCUUCGCGCACGCCGCCCGGCACUGGCUCACGUGCACGCACACAUCUGUACUCACCUCGGGGGAGAUCUUAGAGGGCUGCAGUAUGCAGAGCUGCAAAGCUGGGAAAAAACCACUGAUGUUAGCUUACUUCUGGAGACAGCACCGCUUCAAUCCGCAUUUCCCUCUGGCUUUUCCUUCCAGCACCACCCCCUUCAUCGGCAGAGCCCCCAGGGAUGCAGUAACUGUGUUUGGGGACGUUGUUCAAGUGGGCAGAGGGAGAGGUGGGUCCCAGCCCUGCUCCCAGGGGCAGGAGCAGCAAAACUCCCUGAAGUGGACUGUGUUAGAAGUGUUUUGCCAACCCACGAAGCAGUCGAAUAUGCAAAUGCUCUCAGUCAGGCUGCCAGCUGCCUGCUGGGGAGCCACAACUAGAGCAUGACAGAAAUUAGAUGUGGAAAAGAAUAGGAUUAAAAAAGAAAGUUUCACAUGUAUGGGACCUACGUUUCAUUUUCCAAAAGCUCUUACAUGCUUCAUUAAAGAUGUCUUUGCAUUA